GCACCAUGUAGAGGAUAGGCGCGGAUCUCUACAACUGGACCACCUCCUUUGAAAAUACUGGCAGAGCCUGCAACACAGGUACCUCGUGCCUGCCCCAAAAGCCAUACCACCUUCCUCACUUGCAUGGCCACUCUGACGUCUCUGUAACUGACACAUGGCUAUAGGCCCUAAGGCGAUCUGCCUCAAGAGGCCAUGUGUCAACACCUGGGGAAAUCCAGGCACAUACAUGCAAAUACAGAGGUCUCCCAGGAGGCUUUCAGC
Pelobates cultripes (western spadefoot toad) is the source of this 261-nucleotide non-coding RNA. The record is from the annotation of a GenBank genome assembly. NCBI's taxonomy places the organism in Eukaryota, Metazoa, Chordata, Amphibia, Anura, Pelobatidae.